CCAGAGUGCCAUCGAGUUCCUUCCCCUAAGGAUCAGACUUCCAGACUCAAGGUCUCUCCUGAGCACACGGCUUCAUAAACCAGCUGCACAAGCAACUGCAUCUGGGGAUCUGCUUCAAGAGAAACUUAACUAAAGCAAGAAUGGGCUCUAACUUCAGGAUACCUAGGAUUCUAACCUCGUUCCAUUACUUACCAACGAUAUGACCUGGGAAAAAUUAUAUACCUGCUGUAAGCCUCAAUGUCCUCAUUUGAAAUACACACAUAAUAGUAGGAUCUCUCUUACAAGGUUGCUGAAAAUAUAAACAGUGGUUAUCAAUGGAAAAAGCUUCUCUCAGUGCUUGGCAAAUAGGAAGCACUUAAUAAGUGUUUUCCGGUAUUUUUAUGAUUAUCAUCAUUACUAUAAUUCCCAAGGCAC
This 414-nucleotide long non-coding RNA is filed under the name Homo sapiens (human). RNAcentral describes it as "non-protein coding lnc-GNAQ-1:2". Lineage: Eukaryota; Metazoa; Chordata; Mammalia; Primates; Hominidae. The record is from RNAcentral.